RNAcentral lists this ribosomal RNA (409 nucleotides) under uncultured bacterium. RNAcentral's name for it is "bacterial SSU rRNA". It matches the Rfam family "Bacterial small subunit ribosomal RNA", at positions 97 to 502 of the family's 1533-position model. The record is from RNAcentral.
GGCGAACGGGUGAGUAAUGCAUCGGAACGUGCCCAGUAGUGGGGGAUAGCCCGGCGAAAGCCGGAUUAAUACCGCAUACGACCUAUGGGUGAAAGCGGGGGACCGUAAGGCCUCGCGCUAUUGGAGCGGCCGAUGUCAGAUUAGGUAGUUGGUGGGGUAAAGGCCUACCAAGCCUACGAUCUGUAGCUGGUCUGAGAGGACGACCAGCCACACUGGGACUGAGACACGGCCCAGACUCCUACGGGAGGCAGCAGUGGGGAAUUUUGGACAAUGGGCGCAAGCCUGAUCCAGCCAUGCCGCGUGCGGGAAGAAGGCCUUCGGGUUGUAAACCGCUUUUGUCAGGGAAGAAAUCCUUUGGGCUAAUACCCCGGGGGGAUGACGGUACCUGAAGAAUAAGCACCGGCUAACU